Drosophila montana is the source of this 792-nucleotide long non-coding RNA. RefSeq lists it as uncharacterized. The transcript is spliced from 3 exons. Lineage: Eukaryota; Metazoa; Arthropoda; Insecta; Diptera; Drosophilidae. The record is from RefSeq and is a predicted model, not a curated record.
CUGAAGUGAAAAUAUAGUGAAUAUAAAAAAAACCACCGCAAUGCCACAUCCAUUUAAAGUAGCUUUUGGUGACCAUAUUAAUAUACUUCUUUGACUGCUAUUAUACAAUCGCCUAAGAAAAUUUUGCCGCUAAGUGAUAUAAAUCGCUUUAUAAAGGCACAGUUUCAAACAACUGGCAAUACGCAUUGCGACAUAAUAUAAGUUUUAACGAUUGUUUUAUAAAAGUGCCCCGUAAUAUUAGCAAACCCGGCAAGGAGUUUGCUGGAGCCUUCAUCCUAAAGCAUCCGAAUUGUUUGAUAAGGUGCCUUGCUAGGACUAAAGGGUGGUUGUGGAGCUUAAAUAGGUAGCUCGCUGCUUGUCUGUUUACAAUGCCGCCUAUCAUUGGAAUGUUAAGGUCUUUUGCGAUGUCCUGCGCUAGAAAAUAUUCGGCUCCAGAAAUUUUUCGCUUGGUCUUGGCCUGGAUGACGAGAACUUUAUGCAAAUGAAGACCUUGUUUCGGAUAAAGAGUUUGUUGAUGGAGUUGAGAAGCCAGCUUCUUCGCCGGAUUUUUAUUUUGACAUUGUUGAUUACCUCGGUGAUAUUAUAUAAAACGUAAGUCAAAGUAUUUGUCUCCGAAGUAUUUGUGGUCACUCACACCUGCUCUAAGAGCACACCAUGGAGAAAAAGUCCGGGGCAGGAGUCUUUGCCCGGGGUAUGAGUGACGGUAGCACAUUUUCCAGUGCUCACUUAAACUCCACCUACAAGCGCUUGAGGUACUCCUGCAGGAUGUCCGCUGCUUCAUACGCCCAUCUG